RNAcentral lists this long non-coding RNA (747 nucleotides) under Ananas comosus (pineapple). RNAcentral's name for it is "long non-coding RNA (ACOM_LNC020425)". The record is from RNAcentral. Lineage: Eukaryota; Viridiplantae; Streptophyta; Magnoliopsida; Poales; Bromeliaceae.
GGAUUGGACGGUGGUCCUUCAAAAUUGGAAUUAAUUAUUAACUCAUUGUGAAAUAAUCGUUAUACUCUAAAAAUUUAAGCUGUUAGAGAACGGUGUUUAAAUAUUUUUUAUAUUUAACACUUUUCCUCACGCCUGGAUUCGAGAUUUUUUAGAACGGUGUUUAAAUAUUUUUAUAUUUAACACUCCCCCUCACGUCUGGGCUUGAGAUUUUUUAGUCGGCUCAUGACGUGAGCUUGAAUUAAAUGGGAGGAAAUUAAUAUGCUAGAAGUCUGAUGUGAUUCGAACUCAGGACCUUCGGCUCUAAUAUCAUGUGAAACAUCCGUUGUACUCUAAGGUACCGUUUGAUUCAAGUAUAAGCAAGGACUAGUUAUUACAGAAAUAGAUAUAAGUGUGGGGAUAAGAAAAAAAGUGUUUGGAUGAAAAUUGGGUUGUUUCCGGGGAUAAGAAAAAUAGCGUUUGGAUAGAUAAUAUGAAAUAAGAAAAAUAUUAGAUAAUUUUAUAUAGAAAAUGGAGGUGUUGGUGGGAAUAAUUAUAACCGGUUAUUAUAGGUAACCGAGAAUUACUGUUCUCGGGUAAAAAAUUAGUAUUUGGAUGUAAAGGGGGGAUACGGGCGUAUCCCUAUCCCUAUCUCGUAACCAAACACUGCCUAAAAGCUUAAGCUGCUAGAGAACGGUGUUUAAAUAUUUUUAUAUUUAACAGAAAUUUAUUAUUAUUAAGUUACAUAAGUACCCUCGUAAAAAUUAGAUA